UCAUUUGUCCCUAAUAAAUAUUAAUAGUUACUUAUUAAUUAUAUUAGGUAUUAAUUAUUUAUUACUGAAUCAUGACUUCAAUGUGCAAUGUACUCUGAUAAAUUACUACAUACCAUAACUAACAAUAACCUAAACAUUGGGGGUACAACAACAUUUCUAUAAAUACAAUAAGGGUACAACAAAUGUUCUUAAAGUGAGCAGAUGAUCAAGUACGGAUUUCCUUAAACAUAAACUUUAACAUAAAUAUAAUAGUCAUCAACGGCGGAGCGGCGUGAGAACGCCGGCACAAUAUUUACAUUGUCAAAGACAGAUCAUCGCACGUAUGCUUGUCACCCGGUAGAAUUUUAUAGAUAUACAAUUGCCACCCGAUAGAAUAAUAUAGAUGUAUAAUUGACGCACAGCGUCGCUCAGAUAACGCAAAGCGUGGGAAGAAGCGGAUGCAGGUGUCGCUGACCAACAGGGAUCUGAAGGUACCGCGGGAGUCCCUGGAUGAAAUAUAAGGGGGCCCAGAUUAGGCACAUUUCAGACGUGAUCCACCAGAGUUAGAGCGAGCACCUUCACGUCACUCAGUUCAAUAUUUAUGUCUCCUGGACUUAGAAUAUUUUUCACAAGUUUAAUUUAUUUAAUUAAUUGGACUUAGAAUAUUUUUCUAUAAAAAACACUUUGAAAAUAAUUCAAGAGUCUUCAUUUUUUUACAAACAAACCAUUCGAUACUACAUCAUUCUACUGCUUGUACGUGGCACGUUACAAAUGCAAUGGAUAUACUUGACUAGCGGAAUUACGGGUAGUAAAAAUCAUUGUAACCAGUAUAAUAUCGGAAAAGUUGAAACUUUCAAACAACAACCUCCACAACAACCACCACCACCAGAAUAAACAGAUAAAACGUGAUGGAGAAAAAUCAAUUAUCAAGAAGACUUAUAUAAAAUAGCCAGUCGAACGUAAAAUUAAUAAGGAAAAACGGAAGCAGCUUAGCAGCGACUGAAUGUUAGAAUUUGUCGUUAAUAUCCCAAAAGCUCAUUUAUGGUUUUUAACGGGUUGUUCAAGGAUGCACCAAUUCACUUAAAGGCUGUAUAACUCAUUGUAUUAUGACUUGCAUCGACUUGAUUUACUCUCUUCAAGUACCAAUAAAACACUUUCAGUGUUGAUAAUUAAUUCUUUUUAUUAUAUCCAAAAGAUGAUAACAGAUACACAAUAUUAAUAAUAACACAUUCCUAUCAUUGUAAAACUAA
Molecule: long non-coding RNA, 1229 nt
Organism: Aphis gossypii (cotton aphid)
Lineage: Eukaryota; Metazoa; Arthropoda; Insecta; Hemiptera; Aphididae
Exons: 4
Source: RefSeq, a predicted model, not a curated record